RNAcentral lists this ribosomal RNA (429 nucleotides) under Pseudomonadota bacterium. RNAcentral's name for it is "Proteobacteria bacterium partial 16S ribosomal RNA". It matches the Rfam family "Bacterial small subunit ribosomal RNA", at positions 355 to 776 of the family's 1533-position model. The record is from RNAcentral. Lineage: Bacteria; Pseudomonadati; Pseudomonadota.
UGGGGAAUAUUGGACAAUGGGCGAAAGCCUGAUCCAGCCAUGCCGCGUGUGUGAAGAAGGUCUUCGGAUUGUAAAGCACUUUAAGUUGGGAGGAAGGGCAGUAAGCGAAUACCUUGCUGUUUUGACGUUACCGACAGAAUAAGCACCGGCUAACUCUGUGCCAGCAGCCGCGGUAAUACAGAGGGUGCAAGCGUUAAUCGGAAUUACUGGGCGUAAAGCGCGCGUAGGUGGUUCGUUAAGUUGAAUGUGAAAGCCCCGGGCUCAACCUGGGAACUGCAACCAAAACUGGCGAGCUAGAGUAGGGGAGAGGGUGGUGGAAUUUCCUGUGUAGCGGUGAAAUGCGUAGAUAUAGGAAGGAACACCAGUGGCGAAGGCGACCACCUGGGCUCAUACUGACACUGAGGUGCGAAAGCGUGGGGAGCAAACAGG